Molecule: microRNA precursor, 125 nt
Filed under: Brassica napus (rape)
Lineage: Eukaryota; Viridiplantae; Streptophyta; Magnoliopsida; Brassicales; Brassicaceae
Description: MIR9563 microRNA precursor family
Rfam family: MIR9563 microRNA precursor family
Source: Rfam by way of RNAcentral
GGAAUAUAAGAACCCGUCUCUUAACUUUUAACUAAAAAAACUAAGAACCGGUUCUUAAAUCUCUUAUUUAAGAGCCGGUUCUUAGCUUUUUUAGUUAAAAGUUAAGAGACAAGUUCUUAUAUUCC